CCUUACACAUGCAAGUCGAACGGCAGCACGGGAGCAAUCCUGGUGGCGAGUGGCGAACGGGUGAGUAAUAUAUCGGAACGUGCCCAGUCGUGGGGGAUAACGUAGCGAAAGCUACGCUAAUACCGCAUACGAUCUAUGGAUGAAAGCGGGGGAUCGCAAGACCUCGCGCGAUUGGAGCGGCCGAUAUCAGAUUAGGUAGUUGGUGAGGUAAAGGCUCACCAAGCCGACGAUCUGUAGCUGGUCUGAGAGGACGACCAGCCACACUGGGACUGAGACACGGCCCAGACUCCUACGGGAGGCAGCAGUGGGGAAUUUUGGACAAUGGGCGCAAGCCUGAUCCAGCAAUGCCGCGUGCAGGAUGAAGGCCUUCGGGUUGUAAACUGCUUUUGUACGGAGCGAAAAGGCUCCCUCUAAUACAGGGGGCUCAUGACGGUACCGUAAGAAUAAGCACCGGCUAACUACGUGCCAGCAGCCGCGGUAAUACGUAGGGUGCGAGCGUUAAUCGGAAUUACUGGGCGUAAAGCGUGCGCAGGCGGUUAUGUAAGACAGAUGUGAAAUCCCCGGGCUCAACCUGGGAACUGCAUUUGUGACUGCAUAGCUAGAGUACGGCAGAGGGGGAUGGAAUUCCGCGUGUAGCAGUGAAAUGCGUAGAUAUGCGGAGGAACACCGAUGGCGAAGGC
This 680-nucleotide ribosomal RNA is filed under the name uncultured beta proteobacterium. RNAcentral describes it as "bacterial SSU rRNA". It matches the Rfam family "Bacterial small subunit ribosomal RNA", at positions 47 to 722 of the family's 1533-position model. Lineage: Bacteria; Pseudomonadati; Pseudomonadota; Betaproteobacteria. The record is from RNAcentral.